RNAcentral lists this non-coding RNA (21 nucleotides) under Caenorhabditis elegans. Lineage: Eukaryota; Metazoa; Nematoda; Chromadorea; Rhabditida; Rhabditidae. The record is from RNAcentral.
UGCAAUUGCAAGUGACAUUUC